UACAUUAGAUACCCCGGUAGUCCUAGGCGUAAAUGAUGCGAGUUAAGUUGGGGGCAUCUACGAGAUGGCCCUGUGCUGUAGGGUAGCCGUUAAACUCGCUGCCUGGGGAGUACGGUCGCAAGGCUGAAACUUAAGGAAUUGGCGGGGAGCACCACAAGAGGUGGAGGCUGCGGUUCAAUUGGACUCAACGCCGGAAACUCAUCGGGAGCGACAGCAGUAUGAUUGCCAGGUUGAUGACCUUGCUUGACAAGCUG
This 254-nucleotide ribosomal RNA is filed under the name uncultured archaeon. RNAcentral describes it as "partial 16S ribosomal RNA". It matches the Rfam family "Archaeal small subunit ribosomal RNA", at positions 722 to 982 of the family's 1478-position model. The record is from RNAcentral.